RNAcentral lists this long non-coding RNA (1354 nucleotides) under Gopherus agassizii (Agassiz's desert tortoise). Its description in RNAcentral is "lncRNA (ENSGAGG00000017790.1)". The record is from RNAcentral. Lineage: Eukaryota; Metazoa; Chordata; Testudines; Testudinidae.
GCCUGAUUGCCGCCCUCGGGGCUGGUGCCUGAAACCGCUGCUGGCAGAGUUGCUACUAUUGAUGUCCCUAUUUUAUAUUUUCUGGCCUGGGCAAAUUGAGAUUAUACAUGGACUUAUGAGAACCCAAUAAAUGAAGACUGCCAAGGAGAUAUCCUGACUCAGUGAUCAAAUUGUGCCUUGACUAUUCCCCCUUCCUGGGGAGCACUAGCUCUCUUUGGGGUAGCACAAACCCCACCUCCUCCACUGGUGGGCUUUCUGCCCUGGCCUCCUCUAUCCUCAUCUGUAAAAGGGGUAUAAUCAUGUUUCCCCUCUUUUGUAAAGAGCUUUAAUAUCUGUAAAUGUAAAGCACUAUACAAGUCCAGAAAUAUAUAUAAAUAUAAAAUCAUAUUUAUUAUUAUUAGCCACAGCCCAACACUAGAUUUUUUCUGGAGGUCUUGUUUUCUGCCUCUGACAGACAGCGGGUUUUGUUUUCGUCAAGACAGAUUUGGGUUUGUGCUAAUAAUGGAGGUGUUUGAGGAGCAAGGGCUUUAAUCAUAGUCCUCGCAUUCUCUUAGCCACAGACUCCUCUCUUUGCCUUAACCCUGUGAAUAUACACAGGAGUAAUUUGGUGGCAGUGCAGAAUCAGUCCCCUGCACUCCCUGUUCAGUUCAGCAUGUUUAAUCUGUGCAAUACUUUGCACUUGCUCUGUGCAAAAUAAAGCCUAGCGGCUCAAGACACAUAAAAAGUGUGUGUACGCUAUUUCUUGUUAGUUACUUUGCUUAAUAAUCAUACUGAUUAGUUUCCAGAAAUUUUUACUUCACUGUCAGAAACACUUUCUCACCCAUUUAGCUAAGCUUCCUGAUGUUUCUGCUUAAUGUUAAUCAGGCUGUCUGUUUUGAAGUUUCCAUAUUGGAGUUUGCACCUAAAGAUAUAAAGUCUGUGUGGUAUAAAACCUGGGCCAAGUUACUUGAAGAAAACCGUGUCAUAAAAACUCACAUUGGUGAAAAUGGUUUAUGUUUUUCUACAACUAAAAUAAAAUUUACUCCAAAUGCAGCUGACAGAGGGAGAAGGAUCAGAUGUGAGGUUACUAAUCCAACAACUCACUCCCGUAUAGAGAGAGCCUUUGAAUUGAAACUCAGAGAUUUAAAGAUUUCUCAACUAGCUGUGAAUGAAUACCUACUCUGACGGUAAAUCAGAACCACACAAAGCCAUCAACAAGAAUACAGAUGACAUCUACAUUUCCUGGUUUAAGGGGAAAUAUCUCACCGACGAAGGAAUAGAAAAUGCUGAGUCUGAGGGUGGUUUUAUUUUCUCUGUGACGUUUAAAGCUGAAGAACAAAAUAAAGAAUGCAAGGUCAGAUGUGAGGCUGAUACU